UAAUUUUUUUCUCUCUCCCCUGCGCCUCCCCUGCUCCGCGAAGAACGGAGAAUGGAAGAUUAAUUUGAUGAAGCUCGAAGAAAACUUGAAGAUUCAGCAUCAUAUUGAAAGAACAAGAUAAGUUUCUCAUCAUAUUUUUGUUCCUAUUGAUUCUCAUUAUUUUUUAACCAAAAAGAAGUUCUGAAAAGUUUAUUGACAGCUUCAAAUACCUAAUAAGUUCGAUUUUACUUUGAAGUUUGAUCUGAUUUUAGAAUCGUUGCUCCAAUCUAUCACCCUUUUAUCAUUUUCUUUGAUUCGAACUAUUUUUUUCGAAUUUUUUUUUCGAAAUAUUUUUUGGGGUUUGUAAUCAGCCCUGAUUUGUAAUUUUUUAUGAUUUCAACUAAAUUUUCUCGAUGAAAUCAAGAUUAGAGUUCAGAUCUGUUAUAAUCUAAUCUUUAUCUUGCUUUUAACAUGCAAAAUCAUGAAAGUAAAUCACAUAAUUUUUUCUAGGUUUUUUUUAUUGAAGAUCAAUCGAUCAAUUUAUCUUAAAUCUCUUUUGAAAAUCAGUUUUCAUAUUCGAAAUCUACGAAUCAUCAUCUCUAUUACCCAUCUAUUUGUUAUUAGGUUCGUACUAGAAUAAAUAUGUGUUGCACAAGUAUGUAUCAUUCAGGAAGGAGUGGUACUUGUUUAUGAUGUUUAUAAUUUGACUAUGAUUAUUGAUUUGAUAAGUAUUUUAAUUUUGUCACUACUAAGUUGGUGGUCUUUUCAUCACACAGGUGUGGUAGAAAACAGAGUGGUGUGUAUUUGGACGGAGUUGCUUCUGAUGGUGUAAUGGGACUGGGACUAGGACCAGGGGACAUUUCUAUUCUAAGUUCUCUAGCAAAAGCUGGAUUGGCACCAAACUCUUUCUCAAUGUGCUUUGAUGAUGAUGACUUUGGGAGAAUUUUCUUGGGGACAAAGGAGCUGCAUCUGAAAAAUCCACAUCUUUCUUGCCGUUGGAUGGGAAAAUUGAUGCCUACAUGGUUGAAGUGGAGGGUUGUUGAGUAGGGAGUUCUUGUCUAGCGCAAACUAAGUUCCAAGCACAGGUUGAUAGUGACACGUCAUUCAUGUUCCUUCCGAAGAAAGUAUAUGGGGAAGUCGUCUCGGAGGAACAAGAAAACUCUGGAGAGAAGCAGGUCAAUUAUCAAUGUCGAUGUUCGUUUCUGGAAAUAUAUAAUGGAUAGGUGAUUUACUUGAUCCCACGCAGAGAAACCUUAAGAUAUGCUAUCACUCUCUAUUCACUUGUAAUGUUGGAUGCUAAGCAAUGUACAAAAGAGACAAAAUGAGCUCACAGUCAAGAUUUGACAGUUCAACGUAUUAUCAAUGAGCUCAGAGUCAGGUAGAGGUUUCAGAGGAGUAUUUUGGAGUCAGUGGUGCAGGAAGUACAGAGGUUGGGUCCAUCCAAAUACUUUAAUUGAAAAUUAACCUCAAUUUUACAUCUUCAAUUUCACUUGAAAACCUCAAGUACAUUGAGAAAGAGAACCUGGAGAAGCUCGCAUGCAAGGAGCUAACUAGGGGUCUUGGUGUUGGUGGUAAUUCUGAUUUUGGUAUGAAUGCUGGUUAAGAGAAAGUAGAGAAGCAAUAGCGGAGACACUUUUAUGGUUCUGAGGUCGUAUUUGUAAUGGUGCAGAGACAUAUAAAGGGAGGCGCAGAAAACACAAAAGAACUACCUUUAUAUCACCAUUUUGACGCCUGCAAGUGUUUGACAGAGAUCGUGAAAUAUUGAAGGUUGAAAGAUACAAUUGGUGCGAUUUCCGGUUUUAAUUUGCAAUCAGAUCAGAUGUGCAAAUACAUUGGACUCGAGAAAGACAAAAAAGGAAGGAAACAUUUCUAUUAUAGGAUAUAAUGGAUUUUUCUAGGAUUUCGCUUUCGAUAUCAUGUGAUUCAUUUCGUUCAUUGUGUUCAAACAACCAACUACUAUAACACAACUAAUUACUAUAACUGUAGUAAUUGAUGAACGGACAAAUUAUUGUAAAUGAAAAUUAAAGUAAUACGUAUAUUUUAUGAUGAA
Papaver somniferum (opium poppy) is the source of this 2029-nucleotide long non-coding RNA. RefSeq lists it as uncharacterized. The record is from RefSeq and is a predicted model, not a curated record. The transcript is spliced from 13 exons. NCBI's taxonomy places the organism in Eukaryota, Viridiplantae, Streptophyta, Magnoliopsida, Ranunculales, Papaveraceae.